RNAcentral lists this long non-coding RNA (17201 nucleotides) under Malus domestica (apple). RNAcentral describes it as "long non-coding RNA (MDOM_LNC016066)". Lineage: Eukaryota; Viridiplantae; Streptophyta; Magnoliopsida; Rosales; Rosaceae. The record is from RNAcentral.
UUUUCAUGCGCGAAGCUCGCCUCGUUUUGCAUGCCAGAAGCCAGCCCUGUUUUCUAUGAGUGGAGCUCGCCUUAUUUUGCGGGCCAUGAUUCACCUCGUUCUGCGGGAGCUGAGUUGGCUUCGUUUUGGGUGUGUCGAGCCUGCCUAACCCAUGUUUUUUUGACAAAUAUGUAAAUUUUUUAUUUUUGCAAAAGAUUUUUCCUAAGCAUUAAUUUGAACUUUUUAAGGAAUUUGGGAGCAGUUUUAUGAUUUAUUCAGCAACAAAUGUAUAUUUAGUUGAAUAUUUUAGUUGAAAACUAAAAAAAUAGGUGAAAAAAUAUGAGGCUCAUAACAUUGUCAAAUGGGGUCCUACACUCAAGAAUCUCAACUGAAAGUCUCACCUCAAUUUUCAAAACUUCACAGUGAGGCAAAGGUGAAAAUAAAUAGAUUGAACAGUGAUUUAUGUACGAAUUUGCAAAACUGACUGAAAACCAUACGUAUUAAUCCAUGUUUUUUGUGAAAAUUGAAUUUUUUUUUAAUUUUCUCGAAAUCUUUUCUGUCAGCAUUAAAAAAGUCUUUAUAAUGUAUUUGGAAGUGAAUUUACGAUUUAUUCAGCACAAGUGUAUAUUUAGUAGAAUAUUUAAACCGAAAAGUAAAAAAUAUAGAGAUGUUAAAAUGUAUAUUUAGUGUACAAUAGAUUUUGCACGGUAAAAUAUAUUUUAAAGAACAUGAAUAUAAUAGUUUGUUGUAGUGGUGCCAAAAAGUCACAUGUACUUCAAAAUAUAUUUUUCCGGGUGUGGAGCCCAACUCGUUUUCUGAGCACCUAGGAGUUUGCCUCAUCCUGCGUGCGAGGGGUCCGGCUCGUCGUGUGUACCUAGGUUCGCCUCGUUCUGCAUGUGAACACCUCACAUCGUUUUUUAGUCGGAGGUGAAAAUAAAUUAAUACUUAAAUCAUCUUUCAAUCUAUUAUUUUCACCUUGGCUUUUCUUGAAGUUUACAAAUUAACAUAUGAUUUUCCGUUGGUAUUCUUUAGGGUGGAAUCCCUUUUUGACAAUGUUUUGGGCCUCACUAUAAUAUUUUUCACUUACUUUUUUUAGUUUUCAUCUUAAAUAUUCUACUAAAUAUACAUUUGUUGCUCAAUAAUCGUAAAACCACUUCUUUAUGCUUUAUAAAGUUUUCCUUAAUGCUCAUUGAAAUAUUUUGCAAAAAAUAAAAAAUUUGCAUUUUACACAAAAGAUGUGACAGUAUCGCACACAUGUUUAGUGUCCUUUAGUUAUAAGAGUAUUUAUUUUGAUUGAAGUUGAAUCUUGGUGCUAUUUUUAGCAACGUUGUCGAACAAUACACAAGUGUAUUUGAUUGAAGUUGGAAUACGCUAAACUAUUUAGUAAAGUUGCUAUUUUGAACUCUUAACCCACGAGAUUUAAACCUUAAACCUUUCAUUUAUAAGUAGAUAAAAGUAACACUAGACAACAAAAAAGAAAACCACUAAACCUUUCAUUCGUUACAUAUUUUAGGCAAAAAAAAAAAAAAAACACAAAACAAAGGUAUUUUAGAAUACCUCAUACUUUUUGGACAGACAACAGAGACGAAAGGAUUAUUUUUGCUCAGCUAACCCAAACGAUGGAGAGAGUUUUCAAUGUGCCGCGAAUACUGCCAGUUUCGAUCCCAGGACAUAUUGUAUUCGAACAUCAUCACUCAAAUCCAACAACUAUGAGGGAGCUGGCGACUGAUAUCUCCAAAUUAAAUAUUUACUAGAAUUAUUGAGAAAACGGACUGGAGUGCAUUUUUGGAAUACACAAAUUCCUUUGCUCUUGUGUAGUUACGUUUACAAUUCUGCAAUUUUAAUCUGAAAAAAAAUGAAGUUUUCAUUUGUUGUUGGAACUCUUAAUGUAAAUCGGGAAUUUUGGUAAGACAUUAUAACCGCGUGGCUGAUAAGGACAUGUAACUUAAGUGGUCUCACAUGAGUUAUGUUUUGGUCUCAACGAUUUCAUUGAAAUUUCAAAAACCACACAAGAUUUUGAUUUCAGCACCCGAUAUUGAAAAUGUCAUGUAACUCAAGUGGUUAAGAGUAUUUCACAUGAGCUCGAAGUCUUGUGUUGAUCAAGGAUUUAAAUAUCGAUAAUAUCGGCGAUAUUUCGCCGAUAUUAUCGUUUUUUUGCUUCACCGAUAUAUUAAUAAAUAUCAAAAAAAUUUCGUCAAAAUAUCGCAAUAUUAUCGAUAAUAUCGCGAUAUUACCGAUAAUAUCGCGAUAUUACCGAUAAUAUCACGAUAUUACCGAUAAUAUCGCGAAAUAUUUCAAAAGUACUGAAAAUAUUAAACUAACAAGAUCAGAUAGCACAUCUAAUCUUAGCCAAAAGACAGAGAAAAGAUUGUCUUCAUCAGUUUUGGAAUGUAGCUUUUAUAGACUUGUUUGGUUACUCACUUCCAUUGCACAGCCGAUGUGGGAUGAAAACUAUCUUUUAUAGACUGUUUGCUUGCUCAGUUUUAUUGCACAGCCGAUGUGGGAAGGGUUAUUAUCAUGCCAGGUUUAUAUUGUAACCAUUACUUCCUGCGAAUGCUAGCUCAAAUUGGGAAGGGUUAUUAUGAUGCUGCUUUAGUCAGUUCCUUCCCUCUUUCUUUUUACUGUAAUUUCAUCAUUGAUCACCAAGAUAAUAAGUUGUCAAUACAAAAUACAAUAAAUAUUUGUUUUGUUAGUAAUGAUGCUCAACUUGUGUUGGUAAUGGUUCUAAUCUUGUAUGAUGUUAUAAAACUAAGGAAUUUUUACUAGAAGCAACGUUCUUUUUUCCUCAUCUUACUGCAUGGAUGUAAGAAAAGUUCCAAAUCGGAGAGUUAAUUAAGAAAUUCCUCACAAAGUUUAUUAGGAGUUGUGUCAUAACUCUUAUUGCCAAUUAAUUUUGGGGUUGAAACCUUAGUUUUCUUCAUGGAUCUGGAGCAUAUAUGCUUGCAUAUUAAAGGAAGUUGAGUUUCCACUAUAAAAAGUUAUUACAAAUAGUUACCACACCCAAUACUACAUGUAUGUUUGGGUGAGAGACUCCCAAACUACAAGGCAUGCAUUUUAGGCAAAUGAAGAAGAAAUAUGUCGCACAAAGUUAAAUAUGAGGAAUUAGAAAUGUAUCACAUGAACAUUACAAAUAUAUGUAAAAGAAAUUUGUUAAUGACUCAUUUUAAGCAGUCAUUUGCAAAUCCCUCACGUGUUGCAUUUCUAAUCUCGCAUAUCUAUCUUUUUGUGAUUUAUUUCUUCAUGACUAUGUCUAAAUUCUCCUAAAAUUCCUCUCUUAGAUCUUAUGUGCCCCUCUUUUUUUUGUUUCUCACUCACUCAUGUCUAAAUCUUGUCGAGUUGCAUAUAUUUAGUUGUACAAAUGAGCAUUAAAUUGUUAAUAUCAUGCAAUGUAUAAAAUGUAAAAUAUUGUACUAAUUCAUUAUAUAUAAAUGAUUAUGGUGUGUUUAAACUUCUUUCAUUAAUUACUACAUAUUUUCUACACUCACAAUGUUUGCCAGCUCGUUAUAUAAUCAACUUGAUAAUGUUAAAUCCAUCAUGCAAUGCAUUUCUUUCCAAAUUUUUGUGAUAAACUAAUAGAUAAUUGACUAAAUAAACAUCCUGCAAAGUUUCAAUAAAAAUUUCCAAGUUUUUCUUACAAUUUUCGUGGUUUCCAUGUAAUUUUUAUCGAUAUCGAUAUUAUCCCGAUAUUUCCAUCGAUAUUUCCGUGUUUUCAGACUACCGAUAUUUCCGAUAUUACCGAUAUUUUCUUCCUUGGUGUUGAUGCACAAAAUCAGCGAAGACUUUGGUACAACAGAAAGUGUCAGGUUUUGUGACCUUCGCUUGGUUGCUUCGGUCACUAGUGAGGAUAAGUACGUAAAUGAAUAGAGACAGAGAAGCAAACACAGGAUGUACGUGGUUCACCCAGAUUGGCUACGUCCACGGAGUAGAGGAGUUCUUAUUAGUAGUGAAGGGCUUACACAAGUACAAAGGAUCAAGCUCUCAAUUUAGUGAGUUCUUGUGAAUGAUUUAACACAAAUGGCAUUAGGCCAUAUUGUGGGGGAAUGACCCCUAUUUAUAGAAAAACUUGUAGCUUUGUCACAUUGACAUGUGUCAUGUUAUGAUUGGUUCUUGAUGUCGACACGUGCUGCGCUCUGAUUGGCUUCUAAUCUUGACACGUGUCGAGUAGUGAUUGGCCUCCUGGUCGGAGGGGAAACUCUUCUGGGUCCUUGACAGUAUAGCGUUGGCCGGUGCUCGGUAGUUUCGGGAUUAGUCAAGUAUGGUACAAACAGUGCUCCCCUAAGUUCCCGAGUGAGGGAAACUCCUCGGUUGGGGACUUGCAAGAUCCAAUCCCUUGAGUAAUCACGAAACUUCUAAGUACUGAAGUGUGGUCUGAUCUUCAUCUGCCCUUCUCUGGAAGUACCUUUCCUCCAUCCGGGAAUGGUGUAUUUAGCUGAUGUUGACGCACAAGGUAAUGUAUCAAUUUCACUUGAAGCUUAGUUGUAGUUUCGGGCUUAGUCAAGUGUGAUACAAACCCUAUAGUAGGAGUCCCCCAAGUUGCCGAGCUAGGAGAUCUGCCGAAAGAGGUGACAGACAAGGUAAGCAGUCAAACUUCUAAGUAAGCAACCCAGGAUCAGAGGUUUGACUUCGGCUUCCGGUUGAUUGUUCUCCUUCUCCUUGUCUCUCAUUCAACUGCCAGGAUAAGGAGAAGCAAAUGGAUAAGAGAUGAUAUGAGAUACUUUUGCUUUUGAAGAAGUAACUUUCCACAGGCUUAUUCUUGAACUGUGCUGGAGGGUUUUCUGGUGCCCUUCAGAGUAUAAGGCCGACUCAAAAAUUUGAGGGUCAAAACAAGUCCAUCAAAUCUAGAGUACGUUCGACCUUGAUGAUAUGGGAUACUUUUGCUGUUGACGGAAUAAUGAAUGUGGUAUGGAAAGGUGUCGUGCUGUAGUGAUCUGUUUCAGCUCACCGUUGAACCUUCUGCUUCAAUCUUUUGCAUGGCAGAAGUGGUGUGCAACCUUUGCAUUUAAAUGGUCAUUCAGAACAUUCCUUCAUAGUGACUCAUCCACGCUUGGCAGCUUCAGUGUAAAGAGCCAAUAUCUGAUCAACUGUCAUGAGGCAUUUGCCGGUGGAAUUCGUGACCUUGACAGCAGUUGAGGAUGAGUACUCGAGAGCAAUGCUAAGUAAGCAACCAGGCAAAGGCUCCAGGCAGUCAGUUCCAAAUUGGAGGUUUGACUUCAGGUUCCGACUGACUGCUCUCUUUCUCCUUGUCCUGCAGGUGUGGACAAGGACAAAGACAAAGACAGGGAGAAAGCAUGAUAUGGGAUACUCUUGCUUUCGACCCUGAUGAUAUGAGAUACUCUUGUUCUUGGUGUGGCUUAUUUGCUGAGGUAUUAUCGGGGGGAAAUAAAGCUGAGUAUUUCGAGAGGUUAUGUUGAGGGUGCCUUUUCGAAUGCGAGAAAGGGUUGAGCAUUUUUGCAGGUUUUCCUGUCCGUUGAGGAGGGAGGUCAAUGUAUAUAGGGAUUUCCCAAUAACAAGUAGUAAUGCUAUUCCUUUACCCUUUUUGGUCACAGCAAUGUAGUGGGAGCUGCCAGCUUCACGUGUUUUAAUUUUGUCAGAGCACUUUGAAAAAGUGGUAUGUGGUAUCUGGAAAGCUGAUGUUACGUGUGAAGAUUACAGACAAGCUUUAUCUAAGGAAAUCUGGCUCUCGAAGUUCUGAGAGUUGUGCCUCUUCGGUUUUCGAACAAGCAAUCCCGUCGAGGAUCUGACUCUCGAGAUUCGGAAAGCGGUGCUACUCCGGUUUUUGAGAAAGUAAUUAUGUUGGGAGUCUUUUCUCGAAUGUGAGUAAAGGUUGGACGUUCUUGCCAACCUGUCUUGCCGCAAAACACGGAGGUCGACACACAUAGGGACUUUCCAGUUGUCAAGCAGUGGUGCUGUUCCUUUACCCUUAUGGGUAAUAGUAGGGUAGCUGGAACUUCGAAAUUCUCGUGCCUAAACUUUAUCAGAGAUCUUUGACAAAGUUAUAUGUGGUACCCGAGGAGUUGAUGGUGCAUAUGGAGAGCGGUGAUUGAACAGUAAGAUUCACGUGCUUUCUACUUCACCAGAAAUCUUCGACAGAUUGCCCGUAAUUUCCGCAAAGCUGAGUGUGCAUGUGACAGGUGCUGACGAGGCUGAAAAAGCAGGUGCUUCUUCGAUUUCUGAGAUCGGCCCUCGUGGUCUCUGAGCAGCCCAGCUUUUGAGAAAACAAACGCCUCUUCGAUUUCUGAAGCUCCGUCGAGUGCAGAUUUUUAUAGAGGCUGGCAUUAAGUUCCACAGCACACUUGAAUCUCUACCAGUAGAAGCUCAUUUCUUGCACUUCUAAGAUCUUGAUUUGUCUGACCUCUUCCUUCUUCAACACAUUUGAAAAUGUCUGGACCCUCCGACCGUCGUUUUGACUUGAACCUUGGAGAAGAGACAGCCACGCCUUCUUCAGACAACAUAUGGCGCCCAUCCUUCAUAUCCCCUACUGGUCCUCUUACCGUUGGGGAUUCUGUGAUGAAGAAUGAUAUGACCGCUGCAGUGGUGGCCAGGAACCUUCUCACUCCCAAAGAUAACAGACUACUUUCCAAACGGUCUGAUGAGUUGGCUGUUAAGGACUCUCUGGCUCUUAGUGUUCAGUGUGCAGGUUCUGUGUCUAAUAUGGCCCAACGCCUAUUUGCUAGAACCCGCCAAGUUGAAUCAUUGGCUGCUGAAGUGAUGAGUCUCAAACAGGAGAUUAGAGGGCUCAAGCAUGAGAAUAAGCAGUUGCACCGGCUCGCCCAUGACUAUGCUACAAACAUGAAGAGGAAGCUUGACCAGAUGAAGGAAUCUGAUGGUAAGGUUUUACUUGAUCAUCAGCGGUUUGUGGGUUUGUUCCAAAGGCAUUUAUUGCCUUCGUCCUCUGGGGCUGUACCUGGUAAUGAAGCUUCAAAUGAUGAACCUCCAAUGCCUCCUCCUUCUGGGGUUUUGUCAAGUACUGAGGCUCCGGAUAACCACCCUCCGGUGCUUUCUCUUUCUGGGGCUCUACCGACUGCUGAGACUUCCCCUAAGCAACCUUUGUGAAGGCUCCCUUUUGUUUGUUUAUUUUGACUCAUGUAUAUGUACAUAUUUGUGGCUUAUCGAAAAUAUUAAUAAAUAAGCUUUGCUUCAUUUCAACAUAUUGUGUUAAAUACACCAAAGCCUUCUUCAUAAAGUUCUUUGAAUUUUUGCUUUUGUUGAAACCUGUAUUGUUGAAGCUUUGUGAGUGAAGCAUGUAGUUUGAGGUAGUGUUCCCUUAAUUUCCCGAGUGAGGAAAACUUCUCGGUUGGAGACUUGAAAAAUCCAAGUCACUGAGUGGUCGUGAGACUGCCGAGUAUCAAGGUGCAGUAGCAUAUGGUGGGAGUCCCCCAAGUCUUCAGGCGAAGAGAGUUGCCGAAUGAGGUGUCUAGCUAGUAGUCAAUGUCAUGAGUAGGAAAACUUCACUUGUUUCUUUUCGAAGUGGUAACCCAGGGCGCUUUCUUCAUAUAUUGUUGUUUUUUUUUGUUAUGAAGAUGUGUUAGGCCCAAAGAAGUGGAGGCCUAGGCCCUUUUUUCUUUUUCUUUUUUUUGUUUUUUUUUGUUUUUUUUUUUGUUUUUUUUUGUUUUUUUUUGUCGACUGAGUGGGAUGUUUUCAGCUGAAUCCAAAUAGGGGGAUGUUUUCAGCCGAAUCCAAGGAGGGGGGAAAGCAUGACUCAUCAUCAUUUGUCAUGAUGUUGUUCCCACACUUCAUCAUCAUUUACUACUUUUCCUUUUCUUCUUCAUAAUAUGCCAUCAAUGUGUUUAAUUUUCGUUUGCUUUGCCUUUCCUUUUUGGCUGGAAAGAUUGCCAUCUUUCCUCACAAUCUGAUUUGCUGCAGCCUUGUUGAAGGAAAUGUGGGUGUUGGAGCUAGGUAAACCAAGGAGGGUGUCUACGUAGAGGGAGUGGUAGCUCUUCAAUAUAACACCAUUUUCUGUGGCUCAAAUCGCAAAACCAUCUUCAUGAAAGUUGUUCCUUAGCUCGUGAACUACAACAUAUCCGAAUUGGAGAUCCAUCGGAGCAGUACAACUCCAGAAAUUCAGGUAUGAUGAGUGAUUGUUCGUCAUUUGUAUAUCAACGCGUCAGACUUGUUGUGAGCUUCAAAAACUCCAUUUUCUCUUGCUCAGAUCAACAUACUUUCUUCAUCGAAGUUGUUCCUUAACUUGUGAACUACAACAUAUCCAAAAUUGAGAUCCCUCGGAGCUGUAUAACUCAAGAAAUUCAGGUAUGAUGAAUGACUGGUUAUUAUUUUUCUGUCAACCCGUCAGAUUUGUUGUGAGCUUCGAAACUCCAUUUUCUAUUGUUCAGAUCAGCAUGCUUUCUUCAUUGAAGUUGUUCCUCAUCGUCUCUUUCAUAACAUAUCAAAAAUUCAGAAUGAACUAAUGGUUAAAUAUUUCCAGAUCUUCGAAACAUCACAGCAGCUUCGAAAUCUGCAAGAAUCCGACUGUCAUGUUUGGAGCUUCAACACUUUAAUUUCCGUCGCUCAAACAGAAAUGGUUCCUUCUUGAAAGUUGUUCAUAUGCUCAAAAACUAUAGGGUGUCCAAAAUUCAGCUCCAUUGGAGAAGAGCAGAGGUUGCAGAAAUUUGAUAGAUGAAAGGAGGCGGAAGAGGGAGAGAGAGAAAAAGUCUCUUGGGUUGGAUUUCUAUUUUGGGGCAGAUUCCAAUUUUUGUAGCACCUUCAUUAUUGAUGAAUUGCUUGUACUUUUGUCCAUUAUGAAACUUGGGACUUUGGCUGUUUGUUGGAUCUAUUAUAAUAUGUUUGGGAACAUAUAUAAGUGAAUAAAUAAGAAGGAAAAUUUUGGGCCCUUGUGGGUGUAAAACAAAAAAUGUUUAUGUUUACCCAAGUGUUUUUGUACAAGUUCAAGGGCAUCUUGGGUUUUGUGAACAAAAUUUGUUUAUUUGGAGCAAGGUUUUGUGUUGAAGCUUUGUAGGUGAAGCUUUGGUGUUGAAGCUUUGUAGGUGAAGCUUUGUAGAUGAAGCUUUCUAGGUGAAGCUUUGAUGGUGAAGCUUUGUAGAUGAAGCUUUGUAGAUGAAGCUUUCUGGGUGAAGCUUUGAUGGUGAAGCUUUGUAGAUGAAGCUUUCUGGGUGAAGCUUUGAUGGUGAAGCUUUGUAGAUGAAGCUUCUGGGUGAAGCUUUGAUGGUGAAGCUUUGUAGAUGAAGCUUUCUGGGUGAAGCUUUGUGGUGAGCUUUUAGAUGAAGCUUUCUGAAGCUUGUAGAUGAAGCUUUCUAGGUGAAGCUUUGAUGGUGAAGCUUUCUGGGUGAAGCUACGUAGGUGAAGCUUUGUAGAUGAAACUUUCUGGGUGAAACUUUUUGGAUGAAGCUUUUUUUUUUUUUUUUUUUUUUUUUUUGGGUGAAGCUGUUUUAAGUGAAGUUUUUUUUUGCUGUGUAUGAAUAGAUCUAUUGUUUGGAUAUAAGCCAUUGUUUGGUUGUUCCUUUCUUUGUAUAGUCUUGUCGACACAUACUUAGAUUUUGUUUCGUGUUGGAUAUAUCUGCUUUGAGGUUUCAACACUUGAGUGUUCCAUUGCUAGGAAUGUAAAAGAGUGAGGGCCAAGUUGGCUAAAUUACCUCUUUAGUGAAUUCAUUGCCAAAUGGCCUUCAUUACAUAGGAUGCCGAACGGCUAUAGCUCAACACUUGUACAUCGUGAGUCUAUUUGUAGUAGUACUUCAAGUGAUCAGCGUUCCAUGGAUGGCCAAGGGUCUUGCCAUCGGAGCUUCUAAGUGUGUAAGAGCCAGGGCGACUGAUGCCAAUGACUUCAUACGGUCCAUCCCAGUUUGGACUAAGUGUGCCUUCACUCGGGACUCUGUCGCAGAGUAAUCUUUUCUUUAAGACCCAGUCUCCUAUUUUGAAAGAGCGAGGCUUGACCCUAGAGUCAUAAUAGUUGGAGAUGCGCUGCUUGUAGGCGACAUUCCUCAAGUGAGCUUGGUUUCUGUGUUCCUCGACUAAAUCCAAGUUGAGGGUGAGUUGUUUGUCAUUUUCACUUUGAAUGUAGUUCUGGACUCGGAAUGUUGCUUGCUCGAGCUCAACAGGGACAACCGCCUCUGUGCCAAAGGCAAGUGAGAAUGGAGUUUUUCUCCUGUUGAAGUCCGAUAUGAAGUGCGAUAUGACCAAAGAACUUGGGGUACAAAUUCUGGCCAACAGCCUUUAGCUUUGUCCAAGCUGGUUUUCAAAGUGCGCUUGAUUAUUUUGUUGAUGGCCUCAACUUGUCCAUUAGACUGGGGAUGAGCUGGAGAGGCAAAGCAUAAGUUGAUGUUGAACUUAGAGCAGAACAACCUGAACUUCUUGUUGUCGAACUGUCGCCCAUUGUCAGUGACUAUCGCAUUGGGAAUGCCGAAUCUACAAAGGAUGUUCUUCCACACGAAGUCUUCUAUCUUUGCCUCAGUAAUGGUUGCCAAGGGUUCUACUUCGGCCCACUUUGUGAAGUAGUCCACUGCAACGACUGCGUAACAGACUUUGCCCUUCCCUGCCGGCAUUGGGCCGAUCAAAUCAAGUCCCCACUGGGCGAAGGGCCAAGGGCUGAUCAUAGGAGUAAGAGGCUUUGGAGGGGAAUGAGGAAUAGCCGCAUAUCGUUGACAUUUGUCACAUGAGCGGGAUACUUUGAUGGCAUCCUGGUGGAGUGUUGGCCAGUAAUAUCCUUGGCGAAAAGUCUUGUGUGCUAGGGACCGAGAUCCAGCAUGAUCUCCACAGACUCCCUCAUGUAUUUCCCGAAGGACGAUUUCCGCCUCGGCAGGCGUAAGACACCUUAAGUAUGGCAGGCUAAAACCUCGCUUAUAGAGUUGAUCAUUGAUGAUCAGGUAGCGGGUAGACUUGUAUCGAAUUUGCUUAGCCUGGACUUUAUCAUUUGGGAGGGUGCCAUGAGCAAGGAAAUUAUAGAUCGGGGUGAUCCAACUAUCCCCCUGUUGUAAGUUGCAUACUUCUGCGGCCAUGGUGCUUGGUGUUGCCAACAGUUCGACAUGAAUUUUUCUUCCAAUCUUGUCUUCCACAGCCGAGGCGAGGCGAGCCAGGGCGUCUGCAUGACUGUUUGCCGCUCGAGGAACUUGGGUGAUCUGGUAGUGGAAGUGCUUGAGCAAAAGUUGUGUUUGCACAAGAUAUGCUGCCAUGGAGCUGUCCUUAGCAUCAAAGUUGUUGGUAACCUGGUUGACCACCAAUUGGGAGUCACUGAAAAUAUCAAUUUGUUUAACCCCGAGGUGUUUGGCCAAACGUAAUCCUGCUAGAAGGGCUUCAUACUCGGCCUCAUUAUUUGAUGCCUUGAAUUUGAAACGAAUAGCAUACUCCAUUGCUACUUUGUCGGGUGUAGUCAAGACUAGUCCCGCUCCACAGCCCUGUUGGUUGGAUGAGCCAUCAACAUACAGACUCCAUGCUGGGGUUGUUGGUUCUAUCUUCUGAGCUUCCGGGGGUAAUGAAGCCACUGUUUUAGGUGUAGAAGCAAUGUCAACCGGAUAUGUGAAGUCGGCAAUGAAGUCUGCCACUGCUUGGCCCUUCUCAGCUGGCUUUGGUUGGUAGGAGAUGUCAAACUCACCCAACGCUAUUGCCCAUUUGAUCAUUCGCCCUGAAGUGUCAGGACUUUGGAGUAUCUGUCGAAGAGGAUAAUUGGUAAGCACGAUGAUGGAGUGCGCUUGGAAGUAAGGGCGGAGUUUUCGAGCAGACAUGACCAAUGCCAGAGCCAAUUUCUCAAUGUUAGAGUACCGUGUCUCCGCAUCUUGUAAAGCUUUGCUAGCGUAGUAGACAUGUCGCUCAAUAUUCCCAUCCUUUCGAAUGAGAACGGAACUUACGGCUGAAGCUGAUACCGAUAGGUAGAUAAUGAGAAUGUCUUCUACCUCGGGCUUGGAGAGUAGAGGGGCUUUACUUAUGUACUCCUUGAGGUUUUUGAAUGCCUCGGCACAUUCAUCAGUCCAUGUAAUGUACUUCCUACUUCCCUUAAGUGCUUUAAAAAAGGGAGCACAUUUGUCUGUGGCCUUAGAAAUGAACCUGGUUAAGGCUGCCACCUUGCCAGUAAGGCUCUGGAUGUCCUUUGAAGUUACCGGUUCCUUCAUGUCGAGGAUUGCUUUGAUCUUCUCGGGAUUAGCUUCAAUGCCUCGUUGGCUAAUCAUGAAACCUAAGAAUUUGCCAGAGCCUACGCCGAAGGCACAUUUGUUGGGGUUUAACCUCAUUCGAUACCUCUUCAAAAUAGUGAAAGUUUCAGAUAGGUUGGUGAUGUGUUGGUCAGCAUGUUUGCUCUUGACUAACAUAUCAUCAACGUAAACUUCCAUGCUCUUCCCAAUCUGCUCGGCGAACAUUGAGUUGACUAGUCUCUGAUAAGUCGCUCCUGCAUUCUUUAGGCCGAAAGGCAUGACUUUAUAGCAGUAUAGUCCUCUGUCGGUAGUGAAGGCUGUGUGUUCUUGAUCCGAAGGGUUCAUGAGGAUUUGGUUGUAUCCUGAGUAAGCAUCCAUGAAGCUCAGGAGUUCACACCCGGCCGUAGAGUCUAUAAGUCUGUCAAUAAGAGGAAGAGGGAAGCUAUCUUUCGGACACCCUUUGUUUAGGUCGGUGUAGUCAACACACAUUCUCCACAAGACCUUUUGAAGCAAAAGACUUUCUUUGGUCGGAUUUUUCUUAACAAGGACCACAUUUGCUACCCAUGUCGGGUAAUUGACUUCGCGGACAAAGCCUAUGCCUUUGAGUUUUUCAACUUCUGCUUUCAUUGCCUCGUAUCGUUCAGCGUCAUAAAAUCUUCGCUUCUGUCUCACCGGCUUGAUCUUGGGGUCAAUACUCAAACGAUGACAGAUGACAUCGGGAGAGAUGCCUGGCAUGUCCUCGUAUGACCAGGCGAAGACUUCAGUGUUCUCUUUCAAAAAAGAUAUCAAUGUUAACCGAAGGGGUGGUGACAAUGUGGUGCCAAUCUUCACCAUGCGAUCUGGAUAAUCUCUUGAGAUAGGUACCUUCUCCAACUCUUCAGCAGGUUGGGCUUGCUGGGUGAAAGAGUCAUCUCGAGGAUCAUCGGGUUGAUUGUUGCUAUCAGGAAGAUCCAAGUUCGCUUCAUCUAGGCUGGUCUUUGUGACUUGGUCAUGUACAGACAGGGUUUCCUUGGGUCCGGGCAAGUGUUGUUGCUUAACUGAAGUGUUGUAACAUGAUCGUGCACUAAGCUGAUCUCCUCUGAUGUAGCCGUUGCCAUGGGGGUUGGAAAUUUCAUCAACAGCAUAUGCGUGGAUACCAUAGCCUUGAGAUCAUUGAUGUCUGUGCGCCCAAAGAUGACAUUGUAUGCCGUUGGGCAGUCAACCACUAGGAAGUUAGUGGUAAUGGUAGCCGUGUAAGGGCCUGUACCAAUAGUAAAGGGUAAAUGUAUGCUCCCUAAGGGUUGCACGAUAUCACCGGAGAAGCUUAUCAGAGGAGAAAUCGAGCGAUCGAGCAAGUGUUCAGCUACACUGAGUGCCCUGAAAGCUUCGGCAAACAUGAUAUUGACCGAAGCCCCUGUGUCUACGAGGAUUCGUCGAACAUCAAAGUUGGCUAUGUGAGCCUCCACGAUCAAUGGGUCGUUAUGAGGGUAGAUGAUGCCUCUUUCUUCCUCAGGUAGAAACAUAUCGGAUCCCAGUUAGGCUUUUGAUACUUCCCUCCCCUGAUGUCUUCCACGUGAAACACUUGGUGACCAGGCCUCAGAAUUCGUUCACUGUUUUUCAUGGCCCUAUUGGAAGAUUCAGAUAUGGGUGUGCCGCCGCUUAUGGAAUAUAUGACAUUCACCUGGCGUUGGUUACGGUUAUCCCUUUGAGGGUGAAGGAGGAAUUGAUCAAUUUUUCUUUCUCGUGCCAAAGCUUCAAUACGAUCACGGAGGAUGAUACAUUUCUCGCUAUCAUGGCCGUUAUGCUCAUGGUAGCAACAAAACAUGCCCGCGUUAUUCGGGGGACACCUGGGUGCCUCGGCUUUGGCUUUGGUAUCAGGUGAGCUAUGCUGGGGUAAAUGGCCGCGCAUGUGGCGUUCAAGGGCGUGUAUGUCUCAUACCUUGGGGUAGGGGGUAUCUUGACGCGGGUUUGACCCACUGCAUUGACUGCCUGGGGGCGAGCGUUAUUGUGGCGAUACCCUUGGUUAUCGGGAUAGUGUCCCUUACUCUUUUUACUGAAAUGAGAGUGGUGAGGAUGGAAAUCCUUCCUCUUGCCUUGAAAUUGAUAUGUCUGUUGAUUCGGCGAAGCAUUAUGCAAGGCAUGGGGAGGUGCCACUGCUGUUUGGAAAGUCGAGGUCUUCUCAUUUAGGUGAGUCUGGCUUCCACCUCCCACUUGUUGAUAAAGGAUGGUUGUAGGGGGUUUCUCCUGAUAUGUCUUUGCCUCGGCGGAGGCAUGGUUAUAAGCCUACGCCAUCACCUCAGAGUAAGUCUUCCAAGUAUUGGCAUUGAUCAUGUAUUUAAAGAAACAAUCACGUAGGCCUGCCAUGAAGGCUUUGAGGGCAGUCUUGUCGUCUGCCUCGGCACACCGGGAGUAUUCAUUGCUGAAGCGGCCAGCAUACAUACGUAAUGACUCGUCUGGCUUCUGGCAGAUAGUGUACAGGUCAUCUGCAGAGUGCAAGCGAUCGGUUUGGAAAAUGUGUUGGGAAACAAAUAGUUUCCUCAAUUCCUCAAAUGAGUCUACCGUCUCAGGUGUAAGAUGACAAUACCAAUUUAGAGCUCCACCAGAGAGGGUGGAGGGGAAGAGAAGACAUCGCUCUUCGUCGGUGUGCAUCCGGUAUGCCAUGGUGGACUCAAAAGAGGUUAAGGUGCUCAAUCGGGUCCUCUUUUCCAGUAUAAAGUUGCAAGCCAAGCUUUUGCUUGGUCUUUGCUUGAAGGGGGGUGUUGAGGAUCCUCCUUGUAAGAGGGCCAGGCCUGGGUUGGUUCCAGUCAGGUAUUUCAGCCUGACGUUCAGCCUUCAACUUGUUUACUUCCUCAAGAAGUUGUAGGACAAGGGGUCCUGAGCGGAGUUAUGUGUCACUGGAGCUUUCUUUCGUAAAUCUCCAUCUCCUCUUGGAAUUAGGAAGGUUUGAUCAAGGGCAUGUGAUUUUUCCCUGGACUCGCUGUACUGGCUUCCAGGGUAUGUCUGUCGGAACACCUCUGAGUCCCCUGUACCCUCAUGUCUCUCUAGGACUUGUUGCCCCUUCCCCAAAUUGGUGGCCGGCUUGGGCCGUGGCAGGGGACCGAGUCUCUCAGAAAUCCUUGGGUCAUUAAUCUUUGAGCUUAUAUGGAUGGAAUUCUCUCGACGUUGCUUCAGGAAAUCCCGACAAUCGCGAAAAGACGGCUUUCGAUCCUUCUGCCCCUUCAGCAAAAGAGGUGUCUCCCUCCACUUCUCAUGGUUCGGGUCGAAGCAACUGGGUUAAGAGAAGCCUCAUGUUGAUUAUCAAGUCGAGGGGUAAUCUGUUCCCUAUCAGGGAUAUCUAUGUCGAAUGCAUGUGACCCUCCAUGUUGGAGGGCACCCAGUUGAUGGUUGACUUCCACGGGGGCAACAAGCUCGCGUGUCUGAGCUUGCCUAGCUUCGUGGAGUGUCUCGAAGAGCUUCUCAUAUUGCUCCUGGAGGACCUCAUUCCUCAUUGCUAUCUUGUUGUUCUGAGCUUCCAACUCAUCGACUUUAGCUUGAAGAAGAACUCGUUUUCCUUCCUUCUUUCGUUGUUUCGCACUAUGUGCAAGGGGGGUGUCAUUCUGUGUGCUGUGGCUUCCUUCGCUUCCCAUGUUGAGAGGGGAUGCCUGGUCAAAAGAAAGUGUACGAAUGAUAGAAACCAGCUUGACACAGCUGAAGAGAGUAGGAAUAAGUGUCGUUUCCCACAGACGGCGCCAAAUGUUGAUGCACAAAAUCAGCGAAGACUUUGGUACAACAGAAAGUGUCAGGUUUUGUGACCUUCGCUUGGUUGCUUCGGUCACUAGUGAGGAUAAGUACGUAAAUGAAUAGAGACAGAGAAGCAAACACAGGAUGUACGUGGUUCACCCAGAUUGGCUACGUCCACGGAGUAGAGGAGUUCUUAUUAGUAGUGAAGGGCUUACACAAGUACAAAGGAUCAAGCUCUCAAUUUAGUGAGUUCUUGUGAAUGAUUUAACACAAAUGGCAUUAGGCCAUAUUGUGGGGGAAUGACCCCUAUUUAUAGAAAAACUUGUAGCUUUGUCACAUUGACAUGUGUCAUGUUAUGAUUGGUUCUUGAUGUCGACACGUGCUGCGCUCUGAUUGGCUUCUAAUCUUGACACGUGUCGAGUAGUGAUUGGCCUCCUGGUCGGAGGGGAACUCUUCUGGGUCCUUGACAGUAUAGCGUUGGCCGGUGCUCGGUAGUUUCGGGAUUGGUCAAGUAUGGUACAAACAUCUUGUAUUUGAAUCACCCUUCCAAUAUCGCUUAUAUUAAAAGAAUACAAAGACAUGUAACUCAAGUAAUAGCGAUACACAUCUCGUAUUUUGAUAAACUAUGAAAGAAAUACACUAAAAUGUGCUUUAUCGCAUGUCUAAUGUUCCUUGAGCCACGAGAUUAUGUAUUUUGAAUGAAGUUAAAUAUGAGCACAACAAAAAGUUUAAAAAAGGAAAACAAAGGUAUUUUGAUAAGGACAUGUAACUUAAGUGGUCUCUCGUGAGUUAUGUUUUGGUCUCAACGAUUUCACAGUGGUCUCACGUGGUGUGAGAGCUAUUCUAGUUACAACUUCAUUGAAAUUUCAAAAACCACACUAGAUUUUGAUUGCAGCGCCCAAUAUUGAAAAGAUUAUAUAACUCAAGUGGUUAAGAGCAUUUCACGUGAGCUCAAAGUCUUGUAUUUGAAUCACCCUCCUAGUAUCGCUUAUAUUAAAAGAAUACAAAGACAUGUAACUCAAGCAAUAGGGAUACACAUCUCGUAUUUUAAUAAACUAUGAAAGAAAUACACUAAAAUAUGCUUCAUCGCAUGUCUAAUGUUCCUUGAAUGACGAGAGUACGUAUUUUGAAUGAAGUUAAAUACGAGCACGACAAAAAGUUUAAAAAAGGAAAACAAAGGUAUUUUAAAAUACCUCAUAUUUUCAAUAUUCAAAUAAUCUGUGAGAUGCCAGAGAAUCCCGAGAGUCUCCAUAGCAUUACCCAACUCCAAAACCCUAUCUAUCUUUAGUCUAUCUGCCAGUUUCGAUCCGAAGACCUAUGGGAUUCGAACAGCUCUCAAACCCAACAAUGUACAAGGGAACCAGCGACAAAAAUCUACAAAGAAUUACACUAAACCGUAACAAAAAUAUUGGGCCUAAAGCCCAUAACAGCACAUUCAUAUAGAGGCGGCCC